AUACGUAGGGGGCGAGCGUUGUCCGGAAUGAUUGGGCGUAAAGGGCGCGUAGGCGGCGCGGUAAGUCUGGAGUGAAAGUCCUGCUUUCAAGGUGGGAAUUGCUUUGGAUACUGCCGCGCUUGAGUGCGGGAGAGGUUAUCGGAAUUCCCGGUGUAGCGGUGAAAUGCGUAGAGAUCGGUAGGAACACCAGUGGCGAAGGCGGGUUACUGGGCUGCAACUGGCGCUGAGGCGCGAAAGUGUGGGGAGCGGACAGGAUGAGAUACCCUGAUAGUCCACGCGGUAAACGAGGAAUGCUAGGUGUAGGGUGUAGCGACCCCGCCUGUGCCGUAGGGAACACAAUAAGCAUUCCGCCUGGGGAGUACGGCCUCAAGGUUGAAGCUCAAAGGAAUUGACGGGG
This 397-nucleotide ribosomal RNA is filed under the name uncultured bacterium. RNAcentral describes it as "partial 16S ribosomal RNA". It matches the Rfam family "Bacterial small subunit ribosomal RNA", at positions 523 to 918 of the family's 1533-position model. The record is from RNAcentral.